AGAAGGGCUGAGAUUCACAGCAAGCUCACGUGUCUAGGAUAGUGAAGGUCCCUCCAGGAAGAGAACUGGAUGUGACAUUGUUCCCAAGAAAUGAUCCAAGAGAACCCAUGAGGUACUUUCCCUAAGUACCAGUCCAAAAGACACCUGUGUGCCUAUACACCAUUGAGCUUUCCCAAACAAAAUGAGGGGUGGCCUCUGUGACCCCCACAAGAGGGGUCACCGUCAUGAUUAUGGGUAUACCCAGUUCUGAAGGCAGCAGAGACCAUGACAAUGGGCUAGGUUUCAAAACUAGUAGAAAGUCAGCAGGGAUUCUUUUAAGGAUGAACCAAGCAAGUCUCCACAGGACACAAGGAUAUAUCCUGAAACCAAAAGUCCCAGGCAAAAACCUUCAAACACAAGGAUUCUGGCAUCAGGAACCUCUUGAGUUGCUGUUUAUGGAAGUUCAAGAGAUUCCCCCCAAACAAUAUAAGUGACCUUGGAAACCAUGUACUUCUGCUAUUGGCUGUCCCGUUCAGGCUGUCCUGUUCACUGUGCAGGGAACCAUCCAAGGGACUGCAUGCCAAGGACUGGGGAUCCCUGGAAAUCAUUUGAAGAGUCACUACCUUUUCUGAAACUUGGAAGGAAAAACAUGAUGAAUAAGCCCACGAUGAUUUGGUGCGUUUAAUGUUUUGUUUUGUUUUUUCAACUCUCCAUGUUGUGUUGACUUAUCCCAGGGCAUCAUUAUCAACCAAAGACCUGCAAUAAACCAGCCAUUCUC
RNAcentral lists this long non-coding RNA (757 nucleotides) under Mus pahari (shrew mouse). Its description in RNAcentral is "lncRNA (MGP_PahariEiJ_G0004953.1)". Lineage: Eukaryota; Metazoa; Chordata; Mammalia; Rodentia; Muridae. The record is from RNAcentral.